Molecule: ribosomal RNA, 450 nt
Filed under: Staphylococcus saprophyticus
Lineage: Bacteria; Bacillati; Bacillota; Bacilli; Caryophanales; Staphylococcaceae
Description: bacterial SSU rRNA
Rfam family: Bacterial small subunit ribosomal RNA
Source: RNAcentral
GCUGGCGGCGUGCCUAAUACAUGCAAGUCGAGCGAACAGAUAAGGAGCUUGCUCCUUUGACGUUAGCGGCGGACGGGUGAGUAACACGUGGGUAACCUACCUAUAAGACUGGGAUAACUUCGGGAAACCGGAGCUAAUACCGGAUAACAUUUGGAACCGCAUGGUUCUAAAGUGAAAGAUGGUUUUGCUAUCACUUAUAGAUGGACCCGCGCCGUAUUAGCUAGUUGGUAAGGUAACGGCUUACCAAGGCGACGAUACGUAGCCGACCUGAGAGGGUNNUNGGCCACACUGGAACUGAGACACGGUCCAGACUCCUACGGGAGGCAGCAGUAGGGAAUCUUCCGCAAUGGGCGAAAGCCUGACGGAGCAACGCCGCGUGAGUGAUGAAGGGUUUCGGCUCGUAAAACUCUGUUAUUAGGGAAGAACAAACGUGUAAGUAACUGUGCACGU